CAACGUAGCGAUAGCACGUUGAAUACACCAGUUUCUAAUUGAUCACUGAAGUUAAGAAUCAUUCCGCACGGUUGAUAUCCAGAGGGAUGACCAAUUGGACAUAUCAUGUAGUUUUCUUUU
RNAcentral lists this ribosomal RNA (120 nucleotides) under Diaphorina citri (Asian citrus psyllid). The record is from RNAcentral. Lineage: Eukaryota; Metazoa; Arthropoda; Insecta; Hemiptera; Psyllidae.